CCCUUAGAUGUUCUGGGCGGCCCGCGCACUACAUUGGCACUAGCAAAGAGAUCCUAGAUUGAAUUCUUUGGGGUAUUCUUCUAAAUGGUGUCGUGACUGGGAUAAAUCCUUGUAAUUAUUGGUUUUGAACGAGGAAUUCCUUGUAAUCGCGGUUUAUCAGCUCGCGUUGAAUGCGUCCCUGCCCUUUGUACACACCGCCCGUCGCUCCUACCGAUGGAUCGUCCGGUGAAGCUCACGGAGUGACUGUUCACGCAACGGUUUACGAAGUGAAAUGGACCUCACGAUUGAGAGGAAGGAGAAGUCGUAACA
RNAcentral lists this ribosomal RNA (309 nucleotides) under uncultured eukaryote. RNAcentral describes it as "partial 18S ribosomal RNA". It matches the Rfam family "Eukaryotic small subunit ribosomal RNA", at positions 1470 to 1796 of the family's 1831-position model. The record is from RNAcentral.